Molecule: ribosomal RNA, 461 nt
Filed under: uncultured bacterium
Lineage: Bacteria
Description: partial 16S ribosomal RNA
Rfam family: Bacterial small subunit ribosomal RNA
Source: RNAcentral
CCUACGGGUGGCAGCAGUGAGGAAUAUUGGUCAAUGGGCGAGAGCCUGAACCAGCCAAGUCGCGUGAAGGAUGACGGCCCUACGGGUUGUAAACUUCUUUUGUCAGGGAGCAAUUGAGUCCACGUGUGGGCUUAGCGAGAGUACCUGAAGAAAAAGCAUCGGCUAACUCCGUGCCAGCAGCCGCGGUAAUACGGAGGAUGCGAGCGUUAUCCGGAUUUAUUGGGUUUAAAGGGUGCGUAGGCGGAAUAUCAAGUCAGCGGUAAAAAUUCGGGGCUCAACCGUGGAAUUGCAGUUGAAACUGGAGGCCUUGAGUGCACACAGGGAUGCCGGAAUUCAUGGUGUAGCGGUGAAAUGCUUAGAUAUCAUGAAGAACUCCGAUCGCGAAGGCAAGUGUCCGGGGUGCAACUGACGCUGAGGCUCGAAAGUGCGGGUAUCAAACAGGAUUAGAUACCCCAGUAGUC